Molecule: ribosomal RNA, 409 nt
Filed under: Cepphis advenaria
Lineage: Eukaryota; Metazoa; Arthropoda; Insecta; Lepidoptera; Geometridae
Description: partial 28S ribosomal RNA
Source: RNAcentral
UGCGAAACUCGAAUGAACGAACGGAGAGAUUCAUCGUCAUUCCUCGGCGCACUUGCGUUAGUUCGAUGUUAACGGUUUCGAUCGUUGGCACUGCUCGCGUUCGUAGCGCUCCGGGGACGGCGUGCACUUCUCUCUUAGUAAUACAUCGCGACCCGUUCGGUGUAGGUCUAAGUGCCUUUCGGGAGUCUUCGCACCUUUAUCGGUGUGGAUACCGUGAAGUGCACCGACCUACCGCCGGACGGUAUAUUAUACGAAACGCUCACGCGCUCGUGCGCGUCCGGCCCGACGCAAGGCAACGUCGUAUCCGCUGUCCUGCCCGUGUGCGGACAGAGGUGCGGCGCGCCUGUCGUCGCAGCCGUGCUGUCUCGGACUGUGUGCGUAUCUGUCUGCGAUGAUUCAGUUUCGGGCA